CAGCCGCCGCGGUAAUACGUAGGGUGCAAGCGUUAAUCGGAAUUACUGGGCGUAAAGCGUGCGCAGGCGGUUAUAUAAGACAGAUGUGAAAUCCCCGGGCUCAACCUUGGAACUGCAUUUGUGACUGUAUAGCUAGAGUACGGCAGAGGGGGAUGGAAUUCCGCGUGUAGCAGUGAAAUGCGUAGAUAUGCGGAGGAACACCGAUGGCGAAGGCAAUCCCCUGGGCCUGUACUGACGCUCAUGCACGAAAGCGUGGGGAGCAAACAGGAUUAGAUACCCCAGUAGUCCCUGUCUCUUAUAC
RNAcentral lists this ribosomal RNA (301 nucleotides) under uncultured bacterium. Its description in RNAcentral is "partial 16S ribosomal RNA". It matches the Rfam family "Bacterial small subunit ribosomal RNA", at positions 509 to 807 of the family's 1533-position model. The record is from RNAcentral.